AUGCUCGCUUCAGCAGCACAUAUACUAAAAUUGAAAUGAUACAGAGAAGAUUAGCAUGGCCUCUAUGCAAGGAUGACAUGCAAAUUCAUGAAGCAUUCUGUAUUUUU
This 107-nucleotide small nuclear RNA is filed under the name Dasypus novemcinctus (nine-banded armadillo). The record is from RNAcentral. Lineage: Eukaryota; Metazoa; Chordata; Mammalia; Cingulata; Dasypodidae.